GACGAACGCUGGCGGCGUGCUUAACACAUGCAAGUCGAACGAUGACGACCGAGCUUGCUCGGUCUGAUUAGUGGCGAACGGGUGAGUAACACGUGAGCAACCUGCCCUUCACUCUGGGAUAACCUCGGGAAAUCGGGGCUAAUACCGGAUAUGAGCUCCUGUCGCAUGGCGGGUGUUGGAAAGUUUUUCGGUGAAGGAUGGGCUCGCGGCCUAUCAGUUUGUUGGUGAGGUAGUGGCUCACCAAGGCGAUGACGGGUAGCCGGCCUGAGAGGGCGACCGGCCACACUGGGACUGAGACACGGCCCAGACUCCUACGGGAGGCAGCAGUGGGGAAUAUUGCACAAUGGGCGAAAGCCUGGUGCAGCGACGCCGCGUGAGGGAUGACGGCCUUCGGGUUGUAAACCUCUUUCAGCAGGGAAGAAGCGAAAGUGACGGUACCUGCAGAAGAAGCGCCGGCUAACUACGUG
RNAcentral lists this ribosomal RNA (467 nucleotides) under uncultured bacterium. RNAcentral's name for it is "partial 16S ribosomal RNA". It matches the Rfam family "Bacterial small subunit ribosomal RNA", at positions 28 to 507 of the family's 1533-position model. The record is from RNAcentral.